RNAcentral lists this ribosomal RNA (745 nucleotides) under Amphilophium crucigerum. RNAcentral describes it as "eukaryotic LSU rRNA". The stretch from base 343 to 498 matches the Rfam family "5.8S ribosomal RNA". Lineage: Eukaryota; Viridiplantae; Streptophyta; Magnoliopsida; Lamiales; Bignoniaceae. The record is from RNAcentral.
GGCGGUUCGCUGCCCGCGACGUCGCGAGAAGUCCACUGAACCUUAUCAUUUAGAGGAAGGAGAAGUCGUAACAAGGUUUCCGUAGGUGAACCUGCGGAAGGAUCAUUGUCGAAGCCUGCAAAGCAGACCGCGAACACGUUAUUAACCACUCGGGGAAACGACGGGGGGGCGACCUCCCGCCGUGACCCUCCCCCGCGCGGCGCGAGCGAGAGCUGGCGUCGCGCGGGCUAACGAAACCCGGCGCGGCAUGCGCCAAGGAAAACUCAAUGAAGCGCCGGCCUCCCGUUGCCCCGUUCGCGGCGUGCUCGGGGGGAGCGGGCGUCUCUAGAAUGAUGUCAUAACGACUCUCGGCAACGGAUAUCUCGGCUCUCGCAUCGAUGAAGAACGUAGCGAAAUGCGAUACUUGGUGUGAAUUGCAGAAUCCCGUGAACCAUCGAGUCUUUGAACGCAAGUUGCGCCCGAAGCCGUUAGGCCGAGGGCACGUCUGCCUGGGCGUCUCGCAUCGCGUCGCCCCCCUCCCCGCUCCUCGCGGGCGGGAGGGGGCGGAUACUGGCCUCCCGUGCAYCGGUGCGCGGCCGGCCCAAAUGCGAUCCCGCGGCGACGCACGUCACGACCAGUGGUGGUUGAAAUCUCAACUCGCAUGCUGUCGUGAGCGCCGGCGUCGCCKUUCGGGAAUCACAACGACCCAGAGGCACCUGCGGUGCUUCCGACCGCGACCCCAGGUCAGGCGGGAUUACCCGCUGAG